ACGGAAGGCAGCAGUGGGGAAUAUUGCACAAUGGGGGAAACCCUGAUGCAGCGACGCCGCGUGAGUGAAGAAGUAUUUCGGUAUGUAAAGCUCUAUCAGCAGGGAAGAAAAUGACGGUACCUGACUAAGAAGCCCCGGCUAACUACGUGCCAGCAGCCGCGGUAAUACGUAGGGAGCAAGCGUUAUCCGGAUUUACUGGGUGUAAAGGGUGCGUAGGCGGCCUGGCAAGUUAGAAGUGAAAUUUUGGGGCUCAACCCCAGAGCUGCUUCUAAAACUACCGGGCUAGAGUGCAGGAGAGGAAAGCGGAACUCCACGUGUAGCGGUGAAAUGCGUAGAGAUGUGGAGGAACACCAGUAGCGAAGGCGGCUUUCUGGACUGUAACUGACGCUGAGGCACGAAAGCGUGGGGAGCAAACAGGAUUAGAUACCCUGGUA
RNAcentral lists this ribosomal RNA (434 nucleotides) under uncultured Cellulosilyticum sp. RNAcentral describes it as "bacterial SSU rRNA". It matches the Rfam family "Bacterial small subunit ribosomal RNA", at positions 341 to 792 of the family's 1533-position model. Lineage: Bacteria; Bacillati; Bacillota; Clostridia; Lachnospirales; Cellulosilyticaceae. The record is from RNAcentral.